GCUCCACGAUAAACACAAAAUAACAAGCAUGUGACUGAACUUACACAUGAUGCCAUCUUACUACCGAGAAGU
RNAcentral lists this small nucleolar RNA (72 nucleotides) under Carlito syrichta (Philippine tarsier). RNAcentral's name for it is "Small nucleolar RNA SNORD27 (ENSTSYG00000024159.2)". It matches the Rfam family "Small nucleolar RNA SNORD27". From Rfam's summary of the family: U27 is a member of the C/D class of snoRNA which contain the C (UGAUGA) and D (CUGA) box motifs. Lineage: Eukaryota; Metazoa; Chordata; Mammalia; Primates; Tarsiidae. The record is from Rfam by way of RNAcentral.